AGCAGCCGCGGUAAUUCCAGCUCCAAUAGCGUAUAUUAAAGUUGUUGCAGUUAAAAAGCUCGUAGUUGAAUUUCGGGAUCGAAUUGUUGGUCGUGCUUCGGUACGCACUGGCAUUAUCGGUUCCUACCUUCUGAAGAACCGCGAUGUCAUUAAUUUGGUGUCGUGGGGAAUCAGGACUGUUACUUUGAAAAAAUUAGAGUGUUUAAAGCAGGCUUACGCUUGAAUACAUUAGCAUGGAAUAAUGAAAUAGGACGUUUGAUUCUAUUUUGUUGGUUUCUAGGAUCGACGUAAUGAUUAAUAGGGAUAGUUGGGGGCAUUAGUAUUCAAUUGUCAGAGGUGAAAUUCUUGGAUUUAUUGAAGACUAACUACUGCGAAAGCAUUUGCCAAGGAUGUUUUCAUUAAUCAAGAACGAAAGUUAGGGGAUCGAAGACGAUCAGAUACCGUCGUAGUCUUAACCAUAAACUAUGCCGACUAGGGAUCGGAUGAUGUUAAUUUUAUAAUGACUCAUCCGGCGCCUUAA
Molecule: ribosomal RNA, 520 nt
Filed under: uncultured Glomus
Lineage: Eukaryota; Fungi; Glomeromycota; Glomeromycetes; Glomerales; Glomeraceae
Description: SSU rRNA
Rfam family: Eukaryotic small subunit ribosomal RNA
Source: RNAcentral